GUGUUAGUAGCUUAGUAGGUUAAAGCGUCAGAUUGUGGUUCUGAAUAUCGUGGGUUCAAAUCCUACCUAACACCUA
This 76-nucleotide transfer RNA is filed under the name Caudoviricetes sp. RNAcentral's name for it is "tRNA-His". It matches the Rfam family "tRNA". Rfam says of the family: Transfer RNA (tRNA) molecules are approximately 80 nucleotides in length. Their secondary structure includes four short double-helical elements and three loops (D, anti-codon, and T loops). Lineage: Duplodnaviria; Heunggongvirae; Uroviricota; Caudoviricetes. The record is from RNAcentral.